Long non-coding RNA from Coregonus clupeaformis (lake whitefish), 406 nucleotides. RefSeq lists it as uncharacterized. The transcript is spliced from 2 exons. The record is from RefSeq and is a predicted model, not a curated record. Lineage: Eukaryota; Metazoa; Chordata; Actinopteri; Salmoniformes; Salmonidae.
GCAACUCGAGCAGAAAAAUACACGUGUCGUAGCUGUUAUUAUUAUACCUCCGUGGUCGUAGCUAGACAAACAUUUAUACAAACGAAUUGAACCGACACAACGUUGAAGAAGAGGCGCCACCUACAUCAUGAAUGAUUUUGGAAGCUACCCUCCGCCGAACUUUGGCUCUCCUCCAGGUUCGAUGGUAAGACCGCCAACGUUCCAUCCACCUCCUAGCAACUCCCAGCCCAGUAUGUGGAACUGGUACGAGCCGCCAUCCGAGCCGUGGAGCUACAACGGCCAGGGAGAACACUGGAACGGCGGCCCCGAACCCGGUCGACCCAGAGGCUCAUAUGGCCGGAACUUCCAUCGUGGACAUGGAAGCGGAAGGCAGGACUAUGGUCCUCCCAACAACCAGUGGAAAAAG